Molecule: small nucleolar RNA, 138 nt
Filed under: Ornithorhynchus anatinus (platypus)
Lineage: Eukaryota; Metazoa; Chordata; Mammalia; Monotremata; Ornithorhynchidae
Source: RNAcentral
CCCCUCUCAGGAUCGCACCUGGAGAAUUUCCAGUACCCUACCAGUCUUGGCUUUGGGAGGGACAGUCAAGCAGAGGCCUACCCAUUCCAUUCCUAGCUUGGGCAGUGGCUAGCGAGUGGAAGGCCAUCUGCUACGAGU